GCUCCCCCCACCGCGGCCGGCCCGGCCCGCCCGGGGGCAGAGGCGGAGGCGGGGACUCGGCGCGGCUGCCUCCUCGGGGCAGAGUCCCGGGCCGGGCGGCGGCGCGCGGACAAAGCGCUCUCUCUGCCUCCCUCUCUCUCCCUCUCAAGGCGGUGGCGGGAGGAGGAGCAGCGGCGGGCGGCGGCAGCGCACCCCGCGUGUGUCUGUGUGAGAGUUUGUACGGGCGUGUGCGCAGCCGAGAGGGAGCGAGCGAGCGCCCCCUCCCCGCCCCGCGCCGCUGCGCCCCUCGCCUCGCGCCCACCGCGCUCGGCAGUGGCUGCUCGGGCUCCGGCCCCGCGCCAGGCGGGCGGAAGCGGGUCGCGGCCCCGGGCUGGGGCUCCGGGCGCCGGAACCCCGGGCGGGCGCGGCGCCGAGGCCGGGCGAGCGGCGGGGCGGGGAAGGCGCGCCCCGGGCGCGGGUGGGAGCGCGCGAGGGGGCGACGGGGAGCCGCGGGCGUGGGAGGGAGAGGGGCUGCGAGUGAGCGCGGAGAGGGGUGUGCGCAAGGUGGACCGGAUGUGAGUGCGCUGCUGCCAGGGCAAGCGGGAAGGUGUGUCCCGGAGGUGAGAGGCGAGGGCAGGCUGGGAGACAACAACUUUCGCAGCGACUUGGCCGGGGCUGGCGCCCUGCGCGUUCCCGGGCCGUGCGCUCGCUCUGAGACCCGCUCCCCGCCACGCUCUCUGAGGUGACCGAGCGGCGCGUGUGGUCGAAGGAUCGCGCGCGGGAGUCGGGACGCCUAGGACCGGGGUUGGCCGGGCCCUCGCGGACCGUGCUCGCGGGGAAGUGGUUCCCGGUCCCGGGCCUCAGUUUCCCGACCGGGGAGGGAAGGCGGAAGGCCAGCGCGGAGUCACGUCCUCUCCGCCCAGACCCCGCGUGUCCGGAACCCCGCGGCAGGCGGCAGCCUGACGUUGGCAGCUGCUCUCUAUUCUGGGAAGUGCCGAGGGCUUCCCGGGCGGCGGCGGCGAAAGCCAGGUGGCGGGUGGGGAAACGAACGCCGAGGGGCCAGGGACUGCGGCGAGGCCGGAGCGCUGGGGUCAGCGGCCGGGGGACGGAUGGUCGCCGCCCGGCUGCGCGGCCGGUUCAGCUCCAAAGCCAGGGUGGUGGGAGGCGAGGGUGGCUGGAAGCGGAGGAGCGCAGGCUGUGUAGGAGUUCCCCGAGCACUGGGAAGGGCCCGGAGAGGAAAGAGGUCCUUCCAAGCGGAGGAAACAACGUGACCGACGGAAGAGGCAGGGUUGGGAUGAGAGCAGGCUGGAGCCGAGGGGCUCGGGCAGGAGCCAGACAGGCUAGAGCGGGCUGCAAGUUCCGGGGCCCGGCUGGAAGCCUGAUGGUUAGAGCCUGGUCCCAGCCAGGAAAUGAAAUUCUACAGGAGGGAGAAGAAUGGCGGGAUUCAGAGGUGAGGAGGCAGAAGAAGAUUCCAAGCUCUGGACCUCUGGGGGCCACUGGGAGAGUUGAAGGUUUGAUCGCGGAUAUGUUGGGUUUUGUGAAGGCGUUGGGGCGCGGGUGCGGGGAGUGUCCUUGGGUGGAGAAGUCACGAAUGUAGGAAUGGAACAAGUUCGGGUCUCCUGACUGGGUCGUGAAGUAGUAUUGUCUUUCCCAAGCUUUCCUGUUGAUGAGCGGCGUGGAGAGAAUGGGGCUUGCUGGAUUUUGUAUUUUCCGCAAGUACUCCCAGGUGAUUCUGGUCUGGUAAACACUGUUGGAGUGGAAGGCCUAUCUGCCCCGGACUCAGACCUUCUCUCUGCCCCCAUCUUUGUGCCCUGAGAUGUUCCAGCAUUCUCGAGCCUAAGUUUCUUCAUCUAUAAGGAGAUAAAAUAACCAGUCCUCGCAGGGCUGUUGUGAGGGCUACAAGAAGGAUAACUGCCUAGCGUGUUGAGACAUGGGUGGUCAGACACUUAAUGCCUGUUUCUCUUCUUUCCCCCAGGAAUUCAUGAACUUUUAAAAUACUUUAUUCUACAGAAGGAGAUCUUCUUAACUAAUUAGAAAAAGAAUCGGAUUUUACUGCUCCAGGAGUUGAGAAUGAACUUGGUUACUAAUCCCCAAAGUAAUAGAUAAACUAGGUGUGGAUGCUUCUUUACUAAAUUGUAUCAGAGAAUCACAAAUGAACAUGACUUGUGCAUGCAUAAACCUCAGCAGACUGAACUAACCAUCUUUAGAUUAUUUACACAUGUGCUCCUAAUUGAUAUGGUCACCUUUAUAUUAUAGGACAGCAUAUUUGCUUAUUAUUCACAGGUACAUGUAAAGGAGAAACGAGAGUGGCAGGAAUAGUUGGCCUCAUUCCUCUCCAACAGAGAAAUAAUUGCUCUUUGCUGCAGUUGUCAGCUGUCCUGCUGGAAUUUUGGAAACAGCAGGGCUGCAGAAGGAGGGCUUGAACUGUAAGUGUGAUGGAGGGCAUGCUUCCACUACACCCCUGGUUUGCAGCAUCUACAGUGCCUUAUCUUAGAAUGCAGAGUUAUUUUUCACAUGAUAGAGAAGGGGUUGGGGACCUUUGAAGACAAUAGGGGACAGCCUCCAAGUGCAAAGUCAGAAAUUCAGAGGCCUUGCUCCUGCCAGGCAAAACUUAUUUUCUACCUGUUUUCUCUCGAGUUCCCCUACUUAUCCCUCCCCCAGAGAGCUGAAACAGAGACCAUCUUGAUUGAUCUAGACUUGGUUUACACCUGAUAAGCCAAGAUUUUAUGAAUGUUUAACAGAGGUCAGAAAUUUGGAGAAAAUCUUAUAGUAGGCAUAUUACCUUUUAAAGCAUGAAUUAACUAAUGUUUUCCUCAAGAGUUUCAAAGGCAGUACAGAUCCUCAUUGUUUCCCAGCGAUUCUUUUGGGCAAGACAGUGAUAAGGUGGCUGGGACAAGCUUUCUUAAUCCUUCUUUUCAGGUAAGAAAACUGAAGCUCAGGAAAGUAUAAUUUUUUCUUAAUCACAUGGAGGGCCUGAAACACACCUGGAAAAAACAUUUUAGUCUAACAACAAAGAGUUCAUAAGUGUUAAGUCUUUUUCUUUUCUUUUUUUUUUUUUUUUUUUAAAAAAAGUCUUACUGUCACCCAGGCUGGAGUGUGGUGGGGUGAUCAUGGCUCACUGCAAUCUCAAACUUCCAGACUCAAGCAGUCCUCCCACCUCAGUCUCCCGAGUAGCUGGGACUACAGAUGCAUGCCACCAUGCCCAGCUAAAAUUUUUUUUAAGAGAUGGGAUCUCACUGUGUUGCCCAGGCUGGUCUCAAACUCUUGAGCUCAAGCGAUCCUUUUGAACCUACAAAGCUAUAGCGGAAUGUUUUUUUGCUCAACUGAUAAUGUAGUCAGUAUAACCAGUGUCUCUAGAUAAUGUGAGAAGUUGAAAGAGAAAGUGAAGCCUAUUUGCUGGAAGGCUGAGGCAAAGCCAACAUUUGGAGGUAAUUCUUAGAAGGUCCUGCACCUGCCUGUGCAUCAGGAAUGAUUUGGUAGUAGGGUAAUGUCCCUUAGACCAGUAGUCCCCAACCAUUUUGGCACCAGGGACCGGUUUCAUGGAAGACUAUUUUUCCACAGACAGGUUGGGGGGUGGUUUCAGGAUGAAACUUCUUCACCUCAAAUCAUCAGGCAUUAGUUAGAUUCUCAUAGGGAGCAUGCAACCUAUCCUCACAUGCGCAGUUCAAAAUAAGGUUCAAGUUCCGAUGAGAAUCUGAUGCCACCGCUGAUCUGACAGGAGGUGGAGCUCAGGCAGUAAUGCUUGCCUGCUCCUCACCUCCUGCUGUGUAGCCGGGUUCCUAACAGGCCACAGUACCAGUCCAUGGCACCAAGGUUGGGGACCCCUGCCUUAGACACCUUUUCUUGAGUUAGCAUAAGAUAAUUGCCUUAUGCCAGUUACUUCAUCUAUUUGAGCUUCAGAUUCCUCAUUUGUAAACUAGCCCAAUUGUUUCCUCACUAUAAACUCUAGCCUACCUCCCCCUGCAGUUUCAUAUUAUGCAAAUGCUAGGUCAUUUCAGAAUUCCGUCUUUUUGCACAUUUGUUCUCUUUCCCUGGAAUGCAUUUCUUCCCCUGGUAAACUCCUGUCUUCCCCUGACUUGGCCCCAUGAUACACACAGCACUUCAUACAGAUAAAAAAUAUUUUGUCUAGUGAUAGUUGUACAACUGUGAAUAUAUUAAAAACCAUUGAAGUGUAUUUUAAGUGAGUAAAUUUUACGGUAUGUGAGUUAUAUCUGAAUUUUUAAACAUGGAGGAUGGAGGGAAGCCUUCCCUACUACAUGGUGGGUUUCUGGAGGAAUAAGAUCUUCUCAUUUUCCUGUUAGAAUUUCCUUUGGCCCGUAUGAAACCUGGUCCAUAAUAAAGGCUCGGGUAAUAUUGUUGAAUAAACAAUGACCAUCUGAGGUUUGCUCUAAGGGAUUAAACGAAGAUGUAUGUGAUGGUAUUUAUCUUGCACAAUCCCCUUGUUGAAUUCAUUUAUUCAUGGCACUGUGUAGUGCUAAGCACUGAGGAUACAGAAUAAAUAAACAUCAUCCUGAUCUCAAGGAAUUUAUGGUCAGUGGAGGAGGCAGAUAUAUAAACAGACCAUAGCAUGGCAUUAGAGGUGCCACAGUAGACUUUGUGAGCAUACAAGAUAGAGCAUCCCAUUCAGCCCAGUGUUGGGGAAGGGAACAUCAGGA
RNAcentral lists this long non-coding RNA (4634 nucleotides) under Homo sapiens (human). RNAcentral's name for it is "PREDICTED lncRNA (TCONS_00189583)". The record is from RNAcentral. Lineage: Eukaryota; Metazoa; Chordata; Mammalia; Primates; Hominidae.